CCAAAGGCCCUUCUCAGGGCCACCCACUUCUCUCUGGGAAGAGCAGU
Regulatory RNA element from Oryctolagus cuniculus (rabbit), 47 nucleotides. It matches the Rfam family "Histone 3' UTR stem-loop". From Rfam's summary of the family: The mRNAs of metazoan histone genes lack a poly-A tail. 3' end processing occurs at a site between a highly conserved stem-loop (modelled by this family) and a purine rich region around 20 nts downstream (the histone downstream element, or HDE). The stem-loop is bound by a 31 kDa stem-loop binding protein (SLBP - also termed the histone hairpin binding protein, or HBP). The record is from Rfam. Lineage: Eukaryota; Metazoa; Chordata; Mammalia; Lagomorpha; Leporidae.